GUAAAUAAAUUUAGUUAAGACUAUGACGGCGCUUACAUUUUAACUUCUACCGGCGACGAGACGACCUUUUUCACAGUAAUAAAAGCUAGUCUCGAAGGCCAUGCUUUCGCCGAAUUUUCCUACAACUACGCCAAUGGCGGUACUCAUAUAAACGGGCAUGCAAUCAAAGAAGUGAUCGAAAGAGAAAAAAAUUAGUGCCGUCACGACCACCAUGUCGACCAAGAGUUUUGAUUUCAGAUUUGGUUUUCAUACAGUGGAUAAAAUCAGAAUGCACGUGUUUUUGCGAUUUCACCCCCACCGAAAUGUGGCUGCCGCGAGCAGGAUCGAACCCGCGACCUCGAGCUCAGCAGUCUGCGCCACACACCUUUAGAAAUUUUUUUACAUUUUUAGUGCAUAUCUUGUCCCCAAACAUUAAUCAAUACGUCUGUCUUGCUUGCGUUUCCUCUCUUGAAAACUUGCCUCCUUGGAGCAUUUGUCUCGACCCGCAUGGCGGCUGCACGCCAUUCCUAAACGUGAUCCUAGGGCGCUAUUCUGGACCAUAGAGUUAGUAGAACAACUCUAGAGGAAAAGCUGGGCCGGAAAAGUGGGAACCUCUAGGGCGCCGCCCUGUUGCUACUGGUCAAUGUGGCCAGCGCAAUUACUAUUGAAAGAGCUGAAAACAAGUACAGGUCACCUAAUGCUUUGUCAUCUAAAAACGCAUACCUGAUGGCUUUAUGAAGGUGGAACGUUAUAUUAAAUUUACAGAAAGCGAUCGCUAAGUCCAUGACUUAUGUAAAUCACGAUGUACGCAUUCAUGCAAUAAAGGAUGACACGAAUUUCGGUUUCGAAUCUGUUUUUUGGUUGCAUAGUAGUUUCGUACAGUUUAGGUUUGACAUGCGAUCGCGCGUCGACAUCGGACGCUAUGACACACUCGUUCGUGCCUUAUGUGCCACCGAAGCCCCGAAGUGCUCUGGCAUAUACCUUCACAUGUAAGUAAACGAAUGUAUCUCCUUGUUGAGAGUGUCACGCGAGUAGGCAGCUCUUGUGGUGCAUCACAAUCGUUUGAGAAGCGUCACAUUAGUGCAUUUUUAUGCAUGCGGAGCGGUGUUUUUAUUUGCAGGUUUCCCUUCAGUAGGAAAUUGCUGGACAGGCAGACCAGCGCACCGGAAUUGUACUGGCGAAGCCACAAGCAACUCAAAGAAUCUGUUUAAUUGUUGCACUUUGAACAAUCAUGCUUCUACAAAGGCCACAGCAGAAAAACAGCCUGAUGCCGAAUAUUUCUGUGCCACGAAGUAAUCAAGAGGCGAGUGCCUAUAAUGCGGACGAAAUCGAGUGCAUCGAGACUUAGAACGACAGAAAGCUGAGCUAGUUGGUAAGGAUUCAUUAUGCAAAACAGAGGUGAGGCGUGCAGACAGGACACAAGAGUAGAGAAGUGGGCGGCGCUUGUGUUGUUUGCUUGUAAAUACUCUACUCUCGUGUCCUGUCUGCACGCCUCACCUCCGUUUUGCAUAACGAGUGCAUCAACCCACAUAUUGAUAGCGUAGGCGUUUUAUUAACUGUGUAAUGUUUCCAACACUUCCUUGCAUGCCAUUUCAUGUGGAAUAUAUUUUCUGGUCACAAAUGUGUGCAGCGAAUCUAUUUGCAUGAUCGACUCCGCGCCUGUGGGACCGUUCACUUGCACUUGAUGCUGAGUCUUUUACAUAUAUCCAUAAACUGCAGAUAUGCACAUCAGGCCCCUGCGAGCAUUUUCAAAAUUCAAUUAUUUUAGACAACAGGCACAUAUGCAAUACUGACAUAAUCCCGAAUACCACACGUUUCCCUUUUAUGCAGAUAUGCAAUGGCAAGCCCUUCCAUGUGUUCCAAAAGUAAAAUUUAAGCUCUAAAUUAAAGAAGAUAUUUCUAGUCAGAAACAAGCAAAAAUGGUGACUGCAGAGUAUCAGAAGCCCAAGGUACAGAAAUUGUGAGAAGUGUCGAAUGAUUUUAAGGAAAGAGUCGUAUUUGAAAAUGCAAGACUCUUUAGUGGAGGUCAAGCAAGUCAAUAUAGGUAGAAUACUCUGCAAAAUUAUGCGAGUGAGGGGAUGUCAAACAAUGGGUCAGGAAAUGCAUUGUUUUUCUGCAAAACAAAAGCUGAUUGCCAUCACAUAAGUCACUUUAGCAUCAUGAUAAAUUCAGAAAUAAACCAAAAAACAAGACACGCAAAAAUAAAAAAAAACAUUUAAUGAUGCUCUCUCCACACUGGGAUAAAUAAAAACAAACACAUCACAUCUAAUGUGGACAUAUCAGAUGCCUUGUGAAACACUAAAGGAACAAUUCAGUUUCGAGCUAUGGCACUUGCCACAUAGAUGUGGGGGGGCCUUGCACCAAUAGUGAUAGUUACCACUGCAUUUAGAAAUUGAAAGCAUUCGUGCAGACAAGGAUGAUUCUUUCUAUUCUUGGCUACCACUUCAAAUGCCUCCACCAAGUGUUACAAUGCUGCACGCAGCCAUACUAAGGAUCUCGCAGCAACACCUGCAGGUAAAAAGCAGAAGCAGUCAAAGUGCUGGUGUGUUCUGGACACUAUGUUUGAAAACAUUUAGGCAAGAAGAGUGCAAGAAGCAGACAUAACAACUGCAUUUAUUUCCAUAAUUCCCCAUUUAAAUGGCCUUUUCUUUUUGCUUAGACAAUGCCUAUGCCUAGCCACAGCAGCUCCCUCAUACAGACUCCGCAAGCCAAGAGGCCGUGGAGCCAAAUGCAGGCAGCCAGCACACCUCGAACAGCCACCUUGACUGCGGGUGUGUCACCCUAGUCGCCAAGGAAACAUUUGAGGGAAAGUGACAGGCAAUGUGAACAGCCACUUCUCCAUGUAAACAAUACUCUUUCUCUCGGAUGACUCCUACGCCUCGCCACGCCAGCACACUUGUGCACAAAGAUGCCGCAGAGGCACGUGCAGGUCAGAGGCAAGAAGCAGUGGCACUGGUGUCGACUUUUACCCAAUUUCUUUUUCUUACACUGAGGCAGCCAGCACACCUCGAACAGCCACCUUGACUGCGGGUGUGUCAGUAGAUUCCUGUUGUACAUAUGCUCAUAAUAAACUUCAGUAAACUUGAACUUCAUAAUAAACUUGAAGGCAAAUGGGA
Long non-coding RNA from Dermacentor albipictus, 3095 nucleotides. RefSeq lists it as uncharacterized. Lineage: Eukaryota; Metazoa; Arthropoda; Arachnida; Ixodida; Ixodidae. The record is from RefSeq and is a predicted model, not a curated record.